This 500-nucleotide ribosomal RNA is filed under the name uncultured bacterium. RNAcentral describes it as "partial 16S ribosomal RNA". It matches the Rfam family "Bacterial small subunit ribosomal RNA", at positions 30 to 523 of the family's 1533-position model. The record is from RNAcentral.
AUUGAACGCUGGCGGAAUGCUUUACACAUGCAAGUCGAACGGCAGCACGGACUUCGGUCUGGUGGCGAGUGGCGAACGGGUGAGUAACAUAUCGGAACGUAUCCAAUAAUGGGGGAUAACGAGUCGAAAGAUUCGCUAAUACCGCAUACGCCCUACGGGGGAAAGCUGGGGACCUUCGGGCCUGGCGUUAAUGGAGCGGCCGAUAUCUGAUUAGCUAGUUGGUGAGGUAAAGGCUCACCAAGGCGACGAUCAGUAGCUGGUCAGAGAGGACGACCAGCCACACUGGAACUGAGACACGGUCCAGACUCCUACGGGAGGCAGCAGUGGGGAAUUUUGGACAAUGGGCGCAAGCCUGAUCCAGCCAUUCCGCGUGAGUGAAGAAGGCCUUCGGGUUGUAAAGCUCUUUCGCAAGGGAAGAAAACUUAGCCACUAACAUUGGUUGAGGUUGACGGUACCUUGAUAAGAAGCACCGGCUAACUACGUGCCAGCAGCCGCAGUAA